UACGUAGGGUGCAAGCGUUACUCGGAAUUACUGGGCGUAAAGCGUGUGUAGGUGGUUUGUUAAGUCUGUUGUGAAAGCCCCGGGCUCAACCUGGGAAUGGCAAUGGAUACUGGCAAGCUAGAGUGCGGUAGAGGGUAGUGGAAUUCCCGGUGUAGCGGUGAAAUGCGUAGAGAUCGGGAGGAACACCAGUGGCGAAGGCGGCUACCUGGACCAUAACUGACGCUGAGGCACGAAAGCUAGGGGAGCAAACAGG
This 253-nucleotide ribosomal RNA is filed under the name uncultured bacterium. Its description in RNAcentral is "partial 16S ribosomal RNA". It matches the Rfam family "Bacterial small subunit ribosomal RNA", at positions 524 to 776 of the family's 1533-position model. The record is from RNAcentral.